Molecule: long non-coding RNA, 315 nt
Filed under: Elaeis guineensis (African oil palm)
Lineage: Eukaryota; Viridiplantae; Streptophyta; Magnoliopsida; Arecales; Arecaceae
Description: long non-coding RNA (EGUI_LNC022260)
Source: RNAcentral
CCUAAAUCAUUGGAACAAGACUUAAUACCCAUGACUAUUGGUUGGGCACAAAUUUGGACUGGCCUUGAGUUCAAUCCAAGGUCAAUUAUUGCUAAAAGACAAGCCUCUUGAUUUGUGGAUCACCCUAAGCCACUUCCAGCUCUAGGCGAUCAUGGCAAAUCAGCUCGUCACAUUGCCAUUUUGGGUGUCUCCAAAUCUUGGUACUGUAACCUCUAAAAUAUACCAACAAAUUUAACUGAAGCAAAAGUAGCCAUGGCUUCCACCAAACCCUACGUUUAGAAUUUUAUUUUUCCAUGCAUUAGUGCAAACAGGUGG